Molecule: ribosomal RNA, 467 nt
Filed under: uncultured bacterium
Lineage: Bacteria
Description: partial 16S ribosomal RNA
Rfam family: Bacterial small subunit ribosomal RNA
Source: RNAcentral
GACGAACGCUGGCGGCGUGCUUAACACAUGCAAGUCGAACGGAAAGACCCUGCUUUUGUGGGGUGCUCGAGUGGCGAACGGGUGAGUAACACGUGAGUAACCUGCCCUUGACUUUGGGAUAACUUCAGGAAACUUGGGCUAAUACCGGAUAGGAGCUCCUGCUUCAUGGUGGGGGUUGGAAAGUUUCGGCGGUUGGGGAUGGACUCGCGGCUUAUCAGCUUGUUGGUGGGGUAGUGGCUUACCAAGGCUUUGACGGGUAGCCGGCCUGAGAGGGUGACCGGCCACAUUGGGACGGAGAGACGGCCCAGACUCCUACGGGAGGCAGGAGGGGGGAAUAUUGCACAAUGGGCGGAAGCAUGAUGCAGCAACGCCGGGUGCGGGAUGACGGCCUUCGGGUUGUAAACCGCUUUCGCUUGUGACGAAGCGUGAGUGACGGUAAUGGGUAAAGAAGCACCGGCUAACUACGU